Molecule: ribosomal RNA, 253 nt
Filed under: uncultured bacterium
Lineage: Bacteria
Description: partial 16S ribosomal RNA
Rfam family: Bacterial small subunit ribosomal RNA
Source: RNAcentral
UACGUAGGUGGCAAGCGUUGUUCGGAAUUAUUGGACGUAAAGGGCGCGUAGGCGGCUUUGCAAGUGACGGGUGAAAUCCCUCGGCUUAACCGGGGAACUGCGUCUGAUACUGGAUGGCUUGAGUUCGGGAGAGGGAUGCGGAAUUCCAGGUGUAGCGGUGAAAUGCGUAGAUAUCUGGAGGAACACCGGUGGCGAAGGCGGCAUCCUGGACCGAUACUGACGCUGAGGAGCGAAAGCCAGGGGAGCAAACGGG